GCCCAAGGACACUUUGGCAUGUGGAGUCAUGCUGGCUGGGAACCGCCAACCCUACGAUUAGUGGACAACCCGCUCUACCACCUGAUCCACAGCCGCCCCUGUCACUGUGCAGCUAUCUGUUACAAAUGAAUGGGAAAAUAUCCUUGGCAUCCCUGCAAUUCAAGGAUGUUGUAAUUGCCAUGCUGAGGGAGGUGUUGACUAAAUUAGAGAUGGUGCUGGACCAACAAACCACUGAGCUUGCUUCAACUACAGGUGUUCCAGGUGCAGUCUUUGGAUACUGAUGAAGAUUUACUGCCCUGCAAGAUCUUCCUCAACUGCAUAGUCUGGAGCGAAGGAUGCAACAGAGCCCAGAUUACAAGCAAAAACUGAAACCUCUUCACGGCUAAUGCUGCAGAGAUGGAGGUUGAGGGGACCAUGAAGAGGUGGCUCCAGCUGGCAUCAGAUCGAGAGUGCGGGUGCAAGAGGAGACUUUUGAAAACUUUUGCAAAAAGAAGGUAUUUAGAGUGUUUUAACUGUGGACUCUUUGUUAAUUUGUUAAAAUGUACAUAUUAUAGUCUAUUUUUGAUUGUCUAUAAAAGUCCUUGCUGUUUUU
Molecule: long non-coding RNA, 592 nt
Organism: Ictalurus punctatus (channel catfish)
Lineage: Eukaryota; Metazoa; Chordata; Actinopteri; Siluriformes; Ictaluridae
Source: Ensembl